CAGGAAGUGACAUAGCAAGGAGACUCAUAUUUGAGCGAGGAGAAAUGGGAAGUUCGCUCUUUUUCCCCUCGGCUCCUGCUCCAGCGCCAUGAUGUGAUCCACUGACAAGGAGGGACGCCAAUAAGGUGUCCGAUAAGAUAAGUCUUAUAAAAUAUAUGUUUAUGAUAAUUGAGACUGAGCUAACAGAUGAGGAAUCCUAGUCAUUGGCCAAGCAGCAUUGUACCUAAUACAAGUUGCUGUGUAAUCAUUUGGGCCGUAACUCGGGUGGGCAACUGGCGUAAAGCUCACACGUGGCGGUAGGGCUCAGGCAGCUUAUGGUAGAAAGAUUUAUCGUAACAGAAUGGUGUCAGAAGUGGGAUGACUCCAUGCCCCAAGGUUUCCAGAGAAAGAAGUAAACCUGCCGCCACAGCCUGCCCUGUCCGGCCGCUGAGAGGCAUCAGAGCAGCUUCCAUAUGCUCGCGCCAUCCCAGAGCUUCUGGGGUUUAGACUCGGCACUCCCAAGAUGAUAAAGUCAGAUCCAGAUAAAGAAAAACCUCUAAAGGUUUACACUAUAUUAAAAAAUAUAUGUAGGCUUGUGAGAGGAAAAAAUAACAGGAAGAAAUAGAUUAGCCAGUUGUGGUGGCACACACCUGUAGGAUUUGCUGAAGGAAGCAGAGGCAGGCGGAUUUCCUCAGAGGAACCCUGUCUCAGAAAGAAAAAAAAGAAAGUAAAAGUAAAGUAAUAAAGAAGCCACAUAAAGAUGAAAAAUACAGAGAGAAUCUGGAUACUAAAUGCCAUAUUGUUGUCUUUAAAUUGUUUGAUUGCCGAGGAAAGACUUAUUGCUGCUAAAAUACAUUUGAUUAUAAAUGCUGCUAAAUUAAUCCAACUUAUACAUUUUAAAAAUGCUCUAACUUCAAAAUUUAAGUUUAAGGACAGGCUACUUAGAAAUAAAGGUUUUGCUUGUAUUUCCACAGAAAAUGAAAAGCUGUGGAUUCCUUCCAGACUAUUAUGGUUUGAUCAAACAAGACCCCCUGAAGCUGAGACGAUACAGCCUUACUGACUACAAAAACAAGGACUUGGUCAGGUUUCUAUGUUUUAUCAUGAUCCCCAUGGUAUAUGAACAUCGCCCCCAAUCAGCAGGAAGCAGUUUAGAAAGAACGACGCCCAUAUUCCCAAAUAUUGUUUAUAAAAGUUUGUUUUCAUUUAAAUGGGGUUAGAUAUAAAUGAUAAGGAGCAUAGUCAAUUUUUUUAAAGAAAAAAGGGGAAUAGGAUAUAGGAAUUAAUACUUUGCAUUGGUAUAGAUUUUCAUUUAUUGAUACAACUUUAAGGUCAAUUUUGUGAUAUGUAUACGUCUCCUCUUGUUUAGGUAUUCUGUUUAUACAGAUCUUUUACCUAUAAUAGUCAGAACUUAUAAUUAGGUUAGUUAGGUUUUCUAGAUUUACAGAGAUGUAUUUGAAACGGAUAGAUGUAUUCAAACCUUUCAAAGACCUACAGAAAAAGGCAUUUAAAUGGUUUAGGGCUUUUCUUGGCAGUGAGACACAACUGCUCCUGGCACACCAAUUACGUCAGAAAGGAGGAUGGGCUUCGAAGAAACUUGUUAUGGAAUUUGCUUUCAACAUGACAAGAUUAGCCAUUUGGACAAGAAACUGCUCUUGACUGGACUGUUUGUUGCUGUAUAAACUAGACAUACAGGACCCACAAGAAAAUGACUGCUGAACUUACAAAACAAGACAGUACUGAAGGGUUCCUGUUGAAAUGGAGAAGUGUGCCAGACACACUGUGGCCUAUGGCUGAAGAUGGAUGCCCCAUUAGAGAGGAACUUUGGGUGACUGUCCAGGCAGUGAGAUGUCUCUGUCAAUUCUAGAGUUUAUAUAUUAUCCUUCUGUGGUCUUUGAUAGAAUUGAAGACAGGUAGUUAUGGUUAUAGUUUUCUUCAGUUAUUAUAAAAGAUAAGUUAUCCUUUUAUUUAGACAGAAAAGAGGAGAUGAUGGGGAAUGUACUGUGUAUGUUUAUCUUAUUGAUUGUUGAAUAAAAUACUGUUUGGCCAAUGAGACAGCAAGUUAGACGGAACUAGGAGUCAAAGAGGAUUCUGGGAGAUGUAGUAGAGAAGUGGUGGUCUAGGCAGGAAGUGACAUAUUUGAGCGAGGAGAAACGGGAAGUUUUCUCUUUUUUCCCCUCGGCUCCUGCUCCAGUGGCACCAUGUGAUCCACCGACAAGGAGGGAAGCCAAUAAGGAAAAGGAAAAUAAUAUGGCUGAAUCAUCCUCUUCAUUUCUCACCCCUCCCCAGUCAUGUGGAGCCAGAAGUAAAUGUAUUCCCCUUCCCUCUGCGAGUCCUCAAAUCGGUGAGGGAAGGGUCACGUGCACACGAGGAGGAAUCACCUGACCUUUGGAGAAUGCCCUGCUACCCCCCAGAAUGCACAAUAGCUAAAGACAAUCAAAGCUUCUUUCACUGGGAAACAAUACAACACAGCCACAAAUGAGGCGAUUCUGAAUGAGACCUUGGGCAACCAAGUCAGUCUUCCUCAGCAUCAAUUUCUCACUGUGGUGGCAAUCUUCACUGUCAGUUUCAUGGUCUUUAGACUCACCUGGGAGAUGGUGAGGCCCACCUCUAGGUGUGCCACAGAGAGGGUUAACUAAGGAAGAGAGAAUCACUCUGAAUGUGAGCAACACCAUCCCAUGGGCUGAGGGAUUCCCUGACAGAAUAUAAAGAGAACAUGGAGGCCACCUGUCUCCUGGCCUAUAUGAAGUGAAGGGUGCUCUCCCCUAUACCUGUUUCUGCCACCUGAGCGAGCACCUGGGCCGAGUGACCUCAGACUGGAUGCCCUAAAAUCCUAAGUCAAAUAAACCCUUCCUCCAUUAGGUUGCCUCUGCUGGGUAAUUUGUUAUAGUGAAAAGUAACUACUAUACUUACUGUGUGAGCAGCCAGGCUGCUGCUCUUGCAGAGGAUCUACGCGGUGGCUCAUAACCAUCUAUAACUCCAGCUCUAGGGAAUCUGACACCCUCUUCUGUCAUCCACAGCACAUGAGUGAUGCACAGACAUGUGUGCAGGUGAGUAUUCAUAUACAUUAAACAAAGCCAAAUGCAUCUGUUUUUACAAAAGAAAGGAACGACAACAAUUGGAAACUCAGUGUAUACUGUUGAACUACAAGAGGCUUUCUAUCUCCACUUCCCUGGCCAACCAGAAACACAGCACUGCAGUCUGCUGGAAUUCAGUGCCUUCACCUAGAAAAGUACUCUCAUCAUCUCCAAGGACCCUUCCAAUCUAAGACCGCUGUUAGAACAAGAUCCCAGAGAGGAGAUGAAGUAAGCCUGAUUGAGAAGACACGUCCAGGGCCUAGAGAAAUGGCUCGGCAGUUAAGAGCACUUAAGUCCCCUUGCAGAGGACUGGAGUUCAGAUCCAUCAAAAAGUACUUUUCCUCAACCAUCCUUUCCAACUCAAGACUAGAGGCAAUUCAACACAACCAAAACAGGUGAGGUAAAGGAUAUCAGACUGGAAAAAGGAGAAGAAAGGAGUCUUCUUAGCAUUUGGCAUGAUUGUGGUAACUUCCAAAGCUCUACCGCUAGAACCAAUGGGUGGAUUCAACAAUGUUUCCAGUGACAAAACAAAUGUGUUUUGUUUCUAUAUACUACUGGAUAUGACGCGCACAUUUAAACAAAACAUUGGCUACCUUCACAAUCACUCAAGGAAAACGAAACAGGAAACGUUUGUGGGUAAAUGUAACAACACUUUACAUGGUCUGGACUUUGGCUCAGUUCAUUUGGGCUGCUGUAGUAAAAACUCAUCAGCCUGAGUGGAAUUCAUUUUUCAUGGUCUGGGAGGCUGGGAAGUACAAGAUCAAAACACCAGCAGAUUCAGUGUCUGGAGAGAGCUGCUCUCUGCUUCACAGAUGGCAUUCUCCGGCUGUGUCCUCGCAUGCGGGACAGUAAACAAGUUCCCUGUGUCCUGUUUUAUCAGGUUGUUAUUAUUCCUGUAUUACUCGGGGUUCUUUAGAAUACCUACAGAAUAGACUCCGAUGGUGUUUAUCAGAUCUGCUUACAUGAUACAGUCUGGGUAGUCCAUCAGUGGCUGUCUUCAGGGUAGACAGGCUGAGCCUACUCUUCAGUCAGCAAUGGAACCCAGGUUCUGCCAUCAGUGAAGGAAUCCAAAAGCAGCAGCAGCAGCAGCGGAAGCAACAGAGGUAGAUGAACUCAAUUCACCAGUGAGGUGUGAAGGCAAUGAAGCGAACAGCAAAGCUUCGCCCUUCGGCCCUGUUAUCUGGACUGCCACAGAAAGGUAGCAUCCACACCCAGGAUGGAUCCUCCACUUUAGACAACGUGAUUAAUAAAAUCCUCCAGCAGCUCAUCUCUCAGCUGAUUGACGAUCCAGUCAAGUUGAAAACCAAGACUAACCAUCCCAGGAACCGGCCAGAGCCAUGACCAAGUCAUCUCCCAGAAGCCUGUGGGACCUCCUAAGAUGAUUACAAUUGGGAGCCAGGUUCUAAUGUGUUAAUUCGAGGACUCCUAUUGUUUACUUUGUGCUGCUAAGACAAACCAGGUUUUAAUGUAUUAACUUGAGGGGGGGUCUAUUGUUUACUUUGUGUUGCUAUGGCAAACCAGGUUUUAACAUAUUAGUUUCAGGGAGUCUAUUGUUUGCUUUGGGUUGCUAAGGCAAACAUAUUUAAGAGGAAAAGGUUGGUUUUGACUCAUGAUUACAGGGGAUUUUCAGUUCAUCUUCAGUGGGGAGAGCAAGGCAAAGUAGCUCGAUCCACCAUGGUGGGAGCAUUUAGCAAAAGAUCCUCACACCCCAUGGACCAGGAAGGAAGCAAAGAAUCCCAGCACCAGUGCGAGGCCAUACUCUGGAAAAGUCUAUACCUUAUGGCUAACUUCUGUUAGCCGCCCGAUCCCUACUUUUUCCCAAAACAUCACCAGCUGGGGAAUAAGGGUUUAAAACAUAAGUUCUCUCUAGAUGGAAACCACAACAUACAAUCUUUGUUCUCCAAAGUUUCAUGGCCAUCUCAAAAUGCAAAACACACCCAGUAAGAAUUCAUGAAUUCCCCACAGCCUGGGCAGCACUGGCACUUGAGAAGCCCAAAGUUUGAAGUCUCUUCUGAGAUACCAGGUACCCUCUAAGGCUUAGAGGGUAAGUGAUAAGCUCCUGUGCAAUCACAAAGGGAUUUGUGUACUUCCACUCUACAGUGGUACACGCCAAACACUCCCAUCCUAAAAGGGAGGAAACAAAGGAUAACAAGGAAAGAUUGAACCAAAGAAAGGCCAAAACCCAGCAAGGAAAACAUCAAACACUUCAACUCUGUGUCUAGCAUCCAGAUAUCAAAUGCUUCUCAACUUUCCUAAUGCUGAGACCCUUUAAUGCAGUUCCUCAUGUUGUGGUGACCCUCCGCCAACCAUAAAAUUAUUUUCGUGGCUACCUCAUAACUGUACUCCUGCUACUGUUACGAAUUGUUCUGUAAUUAUCCGUGUUUUCUGAUGGUCCUAGGCAGCACCCUGUGAAAGGGUCCUUUCACACCCCCAGUGGUCAUGACCCACACACAGGUUGAGAAUCACUGGCACAUUAGUUUGGGAACCUCCACAAUGUUUCCAUUCUCCACAGCUGGACUGGGGCUCCUCAAUGCCUGCAGUAUCCUCGGCAGAAACUCCAUGCUCCUCACACCUAUCUCCACAUCCUCAGGUCUCCACUGUGGCUUAGGCUUCAUCCUCACAGUUUCAUGCAUCUUGCUAUUCUGUGCUCCCUGCAGGGACUCUGGCCCUGCUCACUCCUAGGUUUUUCUCCCAAAGCUACAAGACUUCUAUGACCCUGUAACUCUUGUCAUUUUCACACCUGAAAACUUAAUGCCACAUAGAUACUGCCAAGUUCUUCUGCCAGCUCAAGAUGUAGCCAGAACCCCAUAGACAGCAGUCACAGCCUUGGAGGGACUUCAUGGCUGAACUUGGGGAAAAAGACCCCAGAUGGCCCCUUUCCAGAAGGACACCCAACAACUGUCUCUUCAAAGGAAAAGUUUCAAGUGAGUUUGCCUUUAUUUAUAUCCCAGCCUUUGAUGGGAGGGGUCUUGUCCUGAAGGCAGUCUGCCUAUUGCCCCAAUACAAAGUGAAUGGCUUCUGUUUGAUGGUACUAAACUCGUGGGCAAUCUCAGCCUCUGUGUUUACCUUUGAUUUGUCUACAGCUUUAAACACAUUCCCUAACCAUGUGUUUAUCAAAGCUUUCUGCUUGCUUUUUGUUCUGACUCUCACUGUAAACUUGGAUAAAUGUGCCCAGCUAAAAUCACGCUACAGCCCAAUGACUGCACUGUCUUAAAAUUUCUCCAUUAAACUAAUUGGCCUCAAACUGAAAUUUUCAAGUCACAGGCAGAACAUAGCCCAUUGUGCUGGCUACUAUAUCAAUUUUCCACAAGCUACAGUGAUCUGAGAGGAGAGAGCCUCGAUUGAGAAAAUGCCUCCAUACAAUCAAGCUGUAGGCAAAACUUUGGCACUUUCUUAAUUAAUGAUUGAUGUGGGGUCCAGCCCACUGUGGGUGGUGUCGUCCAUGGUCUGGUGGUCUUGGGUUCUAUAAGAAAGCAGACUGAGCCAGUCAGUAGGCAGCACCCCUCUGUGGCUUCUGAAUCAGCUCUGGCCUCCAGGUUCCUGCACUGACUUCCUUCAGUAGUGAAGGGAGUGUAAGCCAAAUAAAUCCUUUCCUACCCAGUUGUUCUGAUCAUGGUGUUUCUCCACAGCAAUAGAAAAAUCUAAGAUAAUCAUAUUCUUUGUCAGAGUGUGAUACAAAUAGCCACAAGUUUGCUCCCACCUGAAGCCUCGUGGUCUUUUCUGUCCACAUUUCUGCUCGAGUGCUGGCAUCUUGAACUCCCACCAGAAUCACCCAUUAUGCUCUAUUUACAGCAUCUUAGGGCUAUUCUAGCCUACACCUCCAAACUCUUCCAUGAACCAUUUCCAAAAGCCUAAAGAGAUUAGAGUUGGAUUUAUUACAGGAACUCCCACCCCACCCCCAGCCAGUUGUCUGUGUUAGUUACUUCUGCAUUGCUAUGACCACGAAACCUGACAUAGACAGAAACAAUUUAUCUUGGUUCAUGCUUCAGAGUGCCUGGGCCCAUCAGGCUGGGGGAAGCAUGGUGUUUACAGCAACCAAGGCAAGUAUUAGAGGCUGUCACAUCACGGCAGACCAGGAGACAGAGCCAGGACCUCUGGUAGGCUCAAACUGUCCAAGGCCUGCCCGUACGGAUUCUUCCUGCAAAGCAGGCCUCACCUCCUCACGCCACCAUCUUCCCAAGCUGGGGAUCAAGCACCAGAAACUCGAACCUGUGAACAUUUCAGUUGCAAACCAUACCGGGAGUCAGAUUACAGCCACUCUGUAUAUUGAAGGCUGUACAACUCACUCUGUUAAGAGAAAGCAAAGAUCUAAAUAAGUGCAGAGACAUGCUGUGUUUAUAGUUUGGGAGGCUUCAAAGAGGAAAGAUGUUAAUUAUCUUUCAAAUGUAUAUACAGGUUUAGCAUAAAUCCCAUCAAAACUGCAGGAAAAUUUUUAUGAAUAUAGACAAGCUUACUUUUCAUAGGGAAAGGCAAAGGAACAAGAAUAGCUGAAACCAUUUUGGGAUGGAAAAAACGAAGUGGGAGGAAUCCGUCUACACAACUUUAAGGCUUGCCAUCUAAAUAGUGGGCUACAGCCGUAGAGACUGGAUGGGACCUUUUGUGGGACAGGCAUGUAACAACCUCACAAAGCCCAGAGAGACCAUGCAACAUGUGUGAGUUUGAAAUGGGUGUGGAAGCAUCUGGAUGCAGGGGAGGAGGUCUCUUCAAUGAACAGUUCUGAGCAACUGAAAUAUUUCGGGGGAGAAGCAUCUUGCCAUAUAAAAUUUAACCUCAGAUGCAGCACAGGCUUCUAGGAAGAGCCAGGAAAGAAAUCGUCAUGCUCUAGGGUUAGGAAGAGUUUGACAAGAUUUUUAGGUCCUUCCUUUAUUAUUUUUCUCAUUUUAUUUUCUUCUGUUUUUUUUGUUUUGUUUUGUUUUGUUUUUCCUCCUGAAUUUUGUUUUAUUCGCCAGGGAGUUGGUGCAGGGGCAGAGGGCCGAUGCAAAGGGGCAGACGGAAUGAACGGGAUCAAGACACAUGAUGUGAAAAAUACAUAAAAGAAAGGAAUGAAGGAAGAAGGAAAGAAAGAGAGAGAGAGAGAAAGAGAGAGAGAAAGAAAGAAAGAGAAAGAAAGAAAGAGAAAUAAAGAAAGAAAGAGAGAGAGAAAGAAAGAAAGAUAGAAAGAAAGAAAAGAAAGAAAGAAAGAAAGAAAGAAAGAAAGAAAGAAAGAAAGAAAGAGAAAGAGUUCUCGGUCAUAAGACCACAAGCAUGAACCAGAGAAAGCUAGCAGUGGGACCAGGAUCUGUCCCUGGCAUAUCAGCUGACUUUUUGGAACCUAUUCCCUAUGGUAGGAUGCCUCAACUUCAAUAUAGGGGGAGGGGAGCUUGGUCCUGCCUCAACUUGAUAUACCAUGCUUUGUUGACUCCCAGGAGAGACCUAUCCUUUCUGAGGAGUGGAUGAGAGGGGCAUAGAAAGGAGGUGGGGGGAGGAAACUGGAGGAGAGGAGGGAGAGGAAACUGUGAUUGGUAUGUACAAUAAAUACAAAAUUUAAUAAUAAAAAUAAGAUUAACAACAAAAAA
This 8608-nucleotide long non-coding RNA is filed under the name Cricetulus griseus (Chinese hamster). RNAcentral describes it as "lncRNA (ENSCGRG00015031394.1)". The record is from RNAcentral. Lineage: Eukaryota; Metazoa; Chordata; Mammalia; Rodentia; Cricetidae.